This 402-nucleotide ribosomal RNA is filed under the name bacterium. Its description in RNAcentral is "partial 16S ribosomal RNA". It matches the Rfam family "Bacterial small subunit ribosomal RNA", at positions 355 to 776 of the family's 1533-position model. The record is from RNAcentral.
UGGGGAAUUUUGCACAAUGGGGGAAACCCUGAUGCAGCGACGCCGCGUGAUUUAGAAGGCCUUCGGGUUGUAAAAAUCUUUUCUAUGGGAAGAAAAUGACAGUACCAUAGGAAUAAGGACCGGCUAAUUACGUGCCAGCAGCCGCGGUAAUACGUAAGGUCCGAGCGUUGUCCGGAAUCAUUGGGCGUAAAGGGUACGUAGGCGGGUAAGCAAGUUAGAAGUGAAAUCCUAUAGCUCAACUAUAGUAAGCUUUUAAAACUGCUCAUCUUGAGGUAUGGAAGGGGAAGUGGAAUUCCUAGUGGAGCGGGGAAAUGCGCAGAUAUUAGGAGGAAGACCGGUGGCGAAGGCGACUUUCUGGCCAUAACCUGACGCUGAGGUACGAAAGCGUGGGUAGCAAACAGG